CCAAUAAUGCAUUAGCAUCCCAGUUUUCCCAUAUCUUUUCCAACACCUGACAAUUUCCAUUUUUGCCAUAUGAUAGGCUUGAGGUGGUAACUCCAAGUUGUUUCAAUUUGCAUCCCUCCUAUGAAUAGUGAUUUAGAGCAUUUUUUCAUAUGAUUGUAGAUAACUUUGAUUUCUCUGGCUGAAAACUAUUCAUAUCCUUUGAUCAUUUAUCAAUUGGGGAAUGACUUAUAUUUUUAUAAAUUUGGCUCAGUUCUCUAUAUAUUUGAAAAAUAAGGCCUUUAUCAGAGAUAUCCCCCUCCCAGUUUUUCUGCUUUCUUUAUAAUUUUGGUUGCAUUUGUUUUGUUUGUGCAAAAGCUUUUGGAUUUUAUAUAAUCAAAAUGAUUUGUUUUACUUUUUAUGAUGCUCUCUAUAUCUUCUUUGAUCCUAAAUUCUUUCUUUAUCUGUAAAUCUGACAGAUAAUUUAUUCCAUGUUUUUCUACUUUACUCUCUAAACAUGCUUUAGGUGUAAAUCACGUACCCAUUUUGAUCUAAUCUUGGUAUAAGGUAUGAGGUAUUGGUAUUAUAAUCUUGGUAUAAGGUAUAAGGUAUAUGAGGUAUUAUCCAAUUUCUGCCAUACUAUUUUCCAGUUUUCCCAUCAAUUUUUGUCAAAUAAUAAGUUUUUGUUCCAAAAGCUUGGCUCUCUGGGUAUAUAAUAUACUUAGAUUACUAUGAUCAUUUAUUAUAAAGUAAUUUGUACCUAAUCUAUUCAACUGAUGCAAUACUUUAUUUCUUAGCCAGUACCAAAUUGUUUUUGAUAAUUACCACUUUAUAAUACAGAUUGAGAUCUAUUAUGAUUAGAUCAUCUUCUUUCUCAUUUUUUCCAUAGAUUCCCUUAAUAUCCUUGACCUUUUGUUCUCUCGGAUGAAUUUUGUCAUUAUUUUUUCUAGUUCCAGUUCUAGAAAAUAUUUUUGAUAGUUUGAUUGGCAUGGCACUGAAUAAAUAGGUUAAUUAAUAGAAUUGUCAUUUUUAUUAUAUUGGCUCAGGCUACCCAUGAGUAAUUAAUAUUUUUCUCCCCAUUGUUUAGAUCUGACUUUAUUUAUGUGAAAAGUUUUAUAGUUAUGUUUAUAUAGUCUCUGGGUUUGUCUUGGCAGUGAUAUUCCCAAGUAUUUUAUAUUGUCUACAAU
Molecule: long non-coding RNA, 1163 nt
Filed under: Sarcophilus harrisii (Tasmanian devil)
Lineage: Eukaryota; Metazoa; Chordata; Mammalia; Dasyuromorphia; Dasyuridae
Description: lncRNA (ENSSHAG00000023246.1)
Source: RNAcentral